UGGUGAACAGUAUUCAAUACUACAAGGGAAAGGUUGAGAAGUUGGAACUUCCACAAAAUGAACAUUAAAAACUGUGAGUUACAAGAGGAAUAAGUUUAGGACUAAUAAUUGUUCCUCAAAGGAGGGAUCAUCAAGGAGAUACCAGAGGUUUAAACAAGGAGGACUCACAGGGUGCUGUGACAUCAAGAGCUGCUGUUUGUAAGCGAGGAGAAAAUCUUUUGGAAACAGGAAAUGAAAUUAUUGUCAUCAUUUAUAAAACAAGCUCUAUAAUACUGUUUGCACAAUGAGGUACACAAGAAUACUAUGGAUGAUUUUUAUUUUGAUUUUACAGGACUUAUAGUUUCAUGUCAUUUGGAUUUCAUUUGGAGCAUCAUGCUGUUUUAGUUUUCAUCCAUUUUUUUAACAAAAAUUCAAUAUGCACCUACUAUGUGCCAAGUUCUUAAAAAAGAAAAAAAAAUCACUAUUCUCAAGGACUUCAUAAUUUAUACCAAAAAAAUAUGACAAGAAAUAUUUUUAAAACAAUAUGAGAGAAAUGUGCAGGGUCCUGUGGUAAUAGGAGAGAAUGACAUUGAUAAAAGUCAUUUGCUAUAUUGGUGUAGUUUAAAAAAAAAAAAAAAAAGCUAACAGCUUUCCAAAGCACCUCAGUUGUGUACAAAUCAUCCCCCAUGCUGUGAAAAUCAGAUCUAACCUGCAAGCUAUAAAUGUGAAAAGGAAUAAGACUAAAAAUGUACCCCAGAUUUGAUCCAUGAUUUAUGAGGAAAUUGGAUAUCUCAAAAUUGCUUUGGCCAUAGAAGAGUCAUUUAAAGCAGGCUCAUAGAAAAGCCUAUCUAAAGUAUUUUCAGAAUUGGCCAGAUAACAUUUGUAAAGAAGUUAGAGAUAUUUCAUUAAUGAAUAGGUUCACAAAUACACACAACCCAGCCUGCAUCCCUCGGGGAAGAAAGGGAUUGUAGAGGAGUGGGAGAAGAUAAUUAUAAUAAGCACCAUGCCUGUCCCUUUAUGUAACUGUUGGGUGUGACCAGGAGAACGCCUGGCAACAUUGACACCCAAUUGUCUUCUAAGCAUUGCUGAUUUUGGAGAACUAUGCUGUGCACUGGGUUCCUAGACUAGAGAGAAAAUUGACAAAAGGAAGGGAGUUAGCUGGAUGCUGUGAAGAUUACAGGUUCACUUUCUGUCUGAGUCACAUUCCAAGAAUGAUACCAUGAGAAAUAUUCUCCUCUUUUCAAUCCUAAAGUGUUUAUAUUUGGGCCUAAGCCAGCAGUAGAGAAUCAGGCAUCUUGUGCUUUGUAUAGAGGAG
Molecule: long non-coding RNA, 1294 nt
Filed under: Macaca mulatta (Rhesus monkey)
Lineage: Eukaryota; Metazoa; Chordata; Mammalia; Primates; Cercopithecidae
Description: lncRNA (ENSMMUG00000058255.1)
Source: RNAcentral